RNAcentral lists this ribosomal RNA (460 nucleotides) under uncultured bacterium. RNAcentral describes it as "partial 16S ribosomal RNA". It matches the Rfam family "Bacterial small subunit ribosomal RNA", at positions 338 to 795 of the family's 1533-position model. The record is from RNAcentral.
CCUACGGUGAGCUGCAGUGAAGAAUAUUGGUCAAUGGACGAGAGUCUGAACCAGCCAAGUAGCGUGAAGGAUGACUGCCCUAUGGGUUGUAAACUUCUUUUAUAAAGGAAUAAAACGAGGCACGUGUGCCUUUUUGCAUGUACUUUAUGAAUAAGGCUCGGCUAACUCCGUGCCAUCAGCCGCGGUACUACGGAGGAUCCGAGCGUUAUCCGGAUUUAUUUGGUUUAAAUGGAGCGUAGAUGGGUUGUUAAGUCAGUUGUGAAAGUUUGCGGCUCAACCGUAAAAUUGCAAUUGAUACUGGAAGUCUUGAGUACAGUUGAGGUAGGCGGAAUGCGUGGUGUAGCGGUGAAAUGCUUAGAUAUCACGAAGAACCCCGAUUGCGAAGGCAGCUUACUAAACUGUGACUGACAUUGAUGCUCGAAAGUGUGGGUAUCAAACAGGAUUAGAUACCCGAGUAGUC